GCGAAAGUGGCGGAAUUGGUAGACGCGCCAGGUUUAGGUCCUGGUGGGGGCGACCCCGUGGGAGUUCGAGUCUCCCCUUUCGCA
Molecule: transfer RNA, 84 nt
Filed under: Alkalispirillum mobile
Lineage: Bacteria; Pseudomonadati; Pseudomonadota; Gammaproteobacteria; Chromatiales; Ectothiorhodospiraceae
Also listed under: 1 other name
Description: tRNA-Leu
Rfam family: tRNA
About the family: Transfer RNA (tRNA) molecules are approximately 80 nucleotides in length. Their secondary structure includes four short double-helical elements and three loops (D, anti-codon, and T loops).
Source: RNAcentral